RNAcentral lists this long non-coding RNA (311 nucleotides) under Salmo salar (Atlantic salmon). RNAcentral describes it as "lncRNA (ENSSSAG00000088623.1)". Lineage: Eukaryota; Metazoa; Chordata; Actinopteri; Salmoniformes; Salmonidae. The record is from RNAcentral.
GUACUGACUACAUUACAGGGUAGUGAUCAAUAGACGGGGAAAGGUACUGACUACAUUACAGGGUAGUGAUCAAUAGAUGGGGAAAGGUAAGGUACUGACUACAUUACAGGGUAGUGAUCAAUAGAUGGUGAAAGGUACUGACUACAUUACAGGGUAGUGAUCAAUAGAUGGGGUAAGGUACUGACUACAUUACAGGGUAGUGAUCAAUAGAGGGGGAAAGGUAAGGUACUGACUACAUUACAGGGUAGUGAUCAAUAGAGGGGGAAAGGUACUGACUACAUUACAGGGUAGUGAUCAAUAGAUGGGGAAAG